Long non-coding RNA from Scylla paramamosain (green mud crab), 347 nucleotides. RefSeq lists it as uncharacterized. Lineage: Eukaryota; Metazoa; Arthropoda; Malacostraca; Decapoda; Portunidae. The record is from RefSeq and is a predicted model, not a curated record. The transcript has 2 exons.
UGGAUUAGCAGCCCUACCAACAUUUCUGAAGGCCUCACACUGUUUCAAAUAUCAUUGUCCGUUGUGUCAAACUGGGUGAAUGAAAAUCCUAAAGAUAUUCUUUUGUAUGAGUGUACACCAAAGCAACUUUGCUUUUCAGUCAGUCAUUGAGACUUUAACACUGCAAGAAGGUUGUGGCAUGCAUACUAUCACUAAAUUAAUGAAAACAUGUCUUAUAAUGCAAGCUCCAAUGUAAGCUCAGUUUAGAGAGAGAGAGAGAGAGAGAGAGAGAGAGAGAGAGAGAGAGAGAGAGAGAGAGAGAGAGAGAGAGAGAGAGAGAGAGAGAGAGAGAGAGAGAGAGAGAGAGA